CAUGCAAGUCGAACGGUGUCUUCGGACAUAGUGGCGCACGGGUGCGUAACACGUAUGCAACCUACCUUACAUUGGGGGAUAGCCUUUCGAAAGGGAGAUUAAUACCGCAUAAGACAGUAGCUGGGCAUCCAGCAGCUGUUAAAGAUUUAUCGAUGUAAGCUGGGCAUGCGUCCAAUUAGCUAGUUGGUGAGGUAACGGCUCACCAAGGCUAUGAUUGGUAGGGGAACUGAGAGGUCAAUCCCCCACACUGGCACUGAGAUACGGGCCAGACUCCUACGGGAGGCAGCAGUAGGGAAUAUUGGGCAAUGGACGCAAGUCUGACCCAGCCAUGCCGCGUGCAGGAUGAAGGCGUUAUGCGUUGUAAACUGCUUUUAUACAGGAAGAAACGACUCUUGCGAGAGGCAUUGACGGUACUGUAUGAAUAAGCACCGGCUAACUCCGUGCCAGCAGCCGCGGUAAUACGGAGGGUGCAAGCGUUGUCCGGAUUUAUUGGGUUUAAAGGGUGCGCAGGUGGUUUAUUAAGUCAGUGGUGAAAGACGGUCGCUCAACGAUUGCAGUGCCAUUGAAACUGGUAGACUUGAGUAAAGUAGAGGUGGGCGGAAUUGAUAGNGUAGCGGUGAAAUGCAUAGAUAUUAUCAAGAACUCCAAUUGCGUAGGCAGCUCACUUGGCUUUUACUGACACUCAUGCACGAAAGUGUGGGUAUCAAACAGGAUUAGAUACCCUGGUAGUCCACACUGUAAACGAUGAUAACUAGGU
RNAcentral lists this ribosomal RNA (757 nucleotides) under uncultured Flexibacteraceae bacterium. Its description in RNAcentral is "bacterial SSU rRNA". It matches the Rfam family "Bacterial small subunit ribosomal RNA", at positions 54 to 821 of the family's 1533-position model. Lineage: Bacteria; Pseudomonadati; Bacteroidota; Cytophagia; Cytophagales; Cytophagaceae. The record is from RNAcentral.